RNAcentral lists this ribosomal RNA (550 nucleotides) under uncultured prokaryote. RNAcentral's name for it is "bacterial SSU rRNA". It matches the Rfam family "Bacterial small subunit ribosomal RNA", at positions 355 to 896 of the family's 1533-position model. The record is from RNAcentral.
UGGGGAAUUUUGGACAAUGGGCGCAAGCCUGAUCCAGCCAUGCCGCGUGAGUGGAGAAGGCCUUCGGGUUGUAAAGCUCUUUCAGCCGGAAAGAAAACGCACAGGAUAAUACCUUGUGUGGAUGACGGUACCGGAAGAAGAAGCACCGGCUAACUACGUGCCAGCAGCCGCGGUAAUACGUAGGGUGCGAGCGUUAAUCGGAAUUACUGGGCGUAAAGCGUGCGCAGGCGGUUUUAUAAGCCAGAUGUGAAAUCCCCGGGCUUAACCUGGGAACUGCAUUUGUGACUGUAAGACUAGAGUGCGGCAGAGGGGGGUAGAAUUCCACGUGUAGCAGUGAAAUGCGUAGAUAUGUGGAGGAAUACCGAUGGCGAAGGCAGCCCCCUGGGUAGACACUGACGCUCAUGCACGAAAGCGUGGGGAGCAAACAGGAUUAGAUACCCUGGUAGUCCACGCCCUAAACGAUGUCAACUAGGUGUUGGGGGAGGAGACUUCCUUAGUACCGCAGCUAACGCGUGAAGUUGACCGCCUGGGGAGUACGGCCGCAAGGUUG